This is an RNA transcript of Populus trichocarpa (black cottonwood), 1595 nucleotides long. RefSeq lists it as uncharacterized. The transcript has 5 exons. The record is from RefSeq and is a predicted model, not a curated record. Lineage: Eukaryota; Viridiplantae; Streptophyta; Magnoliopsida; Malpighiales; Salicaceae.
GUGAAUCAUAAAGUCAGACAGAGUAUUUCCUUCUCUCGACUUACUAUUCACGGACAAUGGGCUUUACGAAGGACCAGUUGCUUGCUCGCUUGAAGGAAAAAUAUGUCGGAGAUAAGGGAGGUGGCCUCUGUAAAAUUUUGUUCUUGAAGACUAGAAAAGUCGGUAUUAUAUUGUUUCCGCUUUGGUGGAUACGAAAGUAGAUAUGAAAGUGUUAUCUCGGAGGCUUGGUUUGGGAAAAGGAGGUACAAGAAUGGCUCCUGAAGAAGCACUGGGUGAGAUACUUCAGGUAUAUGCCUGGACUGUGCUUGAGUCCCUCCCUUAUCUUGUUUUUCCAUUGUUAUUUCCUUGUUACUGGCAGUUUUUUUUUUCUAUCCUUGCUUGCACUUGUAUUUGUAGCCUUGACUUCUUACAGCCUGGAAUAGGAUGCUAGACAAAAUUCUGGAAAUGUGAACGAGAUUAUGUUUCCUCUUUUAACUCUCCUUGGAUCUGAGAGAAAUUAAAUUGUUUGUAGGAAUAAACUAGACUCCUUAAGUUUGGCUAUUCUUAUCUGGUGUAAUGUUCCCACUGCGGAUACAUAUGAAGGCAAUCACAUCCAUGAUUGUGUUGCAGUGCCACACCUUAUGAAAGCAUUUCUUAAUUGAAGAUUAUCAAGCAACCUGCUCGAUGAGAGGGAAAUAUUAUAGAAUCUAGCUACAGGAGAUUGGUGGGAUGCAUAAGGUGAAGGAAUUGAUGAAAUAUAGUGUUUUCUCAGAUGCUGGAUUAUUUGUGGAAGAGAUUCUAAAUAAGACAUCAGCUCUAUUACUUUCAGAAGUAAGUGUAGUACAGUAUGCUUCUUCAGUCCUAACCUAGUCAUAUUUCUGAGUAAGACUAGUGGAAUUUUUCUACGCUGAUCACAGAGGAAGCUGUCAAGAAGAAUGGUAAUCUAGGAACUGUGGUUGCUGACAAUAUUAGAAAGCAGCUUCAUUCAGAUUUGCAAAGCAUUUCUGUGAGUAUUGUCAUUCCCACUAUUUCACAAAAAAAGAAAAGAAAGGAAAGGAAAGGAAAAGAAACCUUGUAAGAUCUUUGACUCAUUCAUUCAUUUUUACCAUCAAAGAUAAGCUACCUCUACCAUCAAAAGGCAUUGCCUGCAAGAUCUUUGACUCUUAAGCAUGAUCUCUUGCCUAAAAGAUGGAACAUGUGGCUGUGGAUGCAUAUUUUCUACAACACCUAUAUUCAUGAGAGGGCUAUUUUAUUUUAUUUUAAUUAUUUUGCAGAUGAUGUUUAAGAACACAGCCUAUACACAAGUGUUUCAUGCUGGUUCUCAACGUGGUUUAUAGCUUUCUCUUUGUAUCCUUUUGCAACUAACAGGAACGAAUGCCAGAGAAAAUAUGUACUGAUCUUUGUUUGUCAAAUAGGGACUUUGAGCAUGUUGACAAUGACAGAAUACCUUGAGAAAAUACCUCUUCAUAAAUUUCUUAGGUUACACAGUUCUAAAUGUUUUCAUGGAAUUAAUCGUGUGAUUUGCAUUUAUACAGCUUAUCACGGAUAUUUCAAUGAAAAAGAGACAAUUUAUAAUGCAAAUGCAUUUGACAACCACUUAUGAAGCUGUGAAUGAA